This 434-nucleotide ribosomal RNA is filed under the name uncultured bacterium. Its description in RNAcentral is "partial 16S ribosomal RNA". It matches the Rfam family "Bacterial small subunit ribosomal RNA", at positions 29 to 507 of the family's 1533-position model. The record is from RNAcentral.
AGCGAACGCUGGCGGCAGGCCUAACACAUGCAAGUCGAACGAACCUUUCGGGGUUAGUGGCGGACGGGUGAUUAACACGUGGGAACGUGCCUUUAGGUUCGGAAUAACUCAGGGAAACUUGUGCUAAUACCGAAUGUGCCCUUCGGGGGAAAGAUUACUCGCCUUUAGAGCGGCCCGCGUCUGAUUAGCUAGUUGGUUGAGGUAAUGGCUCACCAAGGCGACGAUCAGUAGCUGGUCUGAGAGGAUGAUCAGCCACAUUGGGACUGAGACACGGCCCAAACUCCUACGGGAGGCAGCAGUGGGGAAUCUUGCGCAAUGGGCGAAAGCCUGACGCAGCCAUGCCGCGUGAAUGAUGAAGGUCUUAGGAUUGUAAAAUUCUUUCACCGGGGACGAUAAUGACGGUACCCGGAGAAGAAGCCCCGGCUAACUUCGUG